GUCCCCAUCGACUAGCGGUUAGGUCACCACUCUUUCAAGGUGGCGGCACGGGUUCAAAUCCCGUUGGGGACGCCA
Molecule: transfer RNA, 75 nt
Filed under: Candidatus Edwardsiibacteriota bacterium
Lineage: Bacteria; Candidatus Edwardsiibacteriota
Description: tRNA-Glu
Rfam family: tRNA
About the family: Transfer RNA (tRNA) molecules are approximately 80 nucleotides in length. Their secondary structure includes four short double-helical elements and three loops (D, anti-codon, and T loops).
Source: RNAcentral